AAUUCCAAGCUUGAGUUUGAUCCUGGCUCAGAUUGAACGCUGGCGGCAUGCUUUACACAUGCAAGUCGAACGACAGCGGGGGCUUCGGCCUGCCGGCGAGUGGCGAACGGGUGAGUAAUGCAUCGGAACGUGCCCAUGUCGUGGGGGAUAACGUAUCGAAAGGUACGCUAAUACCGCAUACGUCCUGAGGGAGAAAGCGGGGGACCGUAAGGCCUCGCGCGAUUGGAGCGGCCGAUGUCGGAUUAGCUAGUUGGUGAGGUAAAGGCUCACCAAGGCGACGAUCCGUAGCGGGUCUGAGAGGAUGAUCCGCCACACUGGGACUGAGACACGGCCCAGACUCCUACGGGAGGCAGCAGUGGGGAAUUUUGGACAAUGGGCGCAAGCCUGAUCCAGCCAUGCCGCGUGAGUGAAGAAGGCCUUCGGGUUGUAAAGCUCUUUCGGCCGGGAAGAAAUCGUGUUCUCUAACAUAGGACAUGGAUGACGGUACCGGACUAAGAAGCACCGGCUAACUACGUGCCAGCAGCCGCGGUAAUACGUAGGGUGCGAGCGUUAAUCGGAAUUACUGGGCGUAAAGCGUGCGCAGGCGGUUUUGUAAGACAGAUGUGAAAUCCCCGGGCUUAACCUGGGAACUGCGUUUGUGACUGCAAGGCUGGAGUACGGCAGAGGGGGGUGGAAUUCCACGUGUAGCAGUGAAAUGCGUAGAGAUGUGGAGGAACACCGAUGGCGAAGGCAGCCCCCUGGGCCUGUACU
Molecule: ribosomal RNA, 750 nt
Filed under: uncultured bacterium
Lineage: Bacteria
Description: bacterial SSU rRNA
Rfam family: Bacterial small subunit ribosomal RNA
Source: RNAcentral